UGGGUUUGAUGGCAACCCCUCCCUUGUUCUUUUCCUCGUGAGCCAGCACAGCCAGAGAUCUCGCACCAAGCAAAGUCAAGCUGAGCUGCAAAUGAAAGGUCCAGAGAACCAGAGCAGCAUGCUGCAUACCUGCAUGCACUAGACUAUGCCCCCACCCCACCCCUUUGCGACCUUUUGCCUAUCACAUUGAGUGCAUCUUGUGCAAGACUUCUUUGGGGAUGGAAUCAAAUUCCAUGGAAAGCCAUGUCAAGUUGUUGCUCAGGGAUCUAAUUCUUUCGGAUUUCUUUUGCGGCCGCACCGAUACUUCCACACCGGAAGAGAUCAAGGAACAGUUGCACUCGCUCACUUGGGAGUCCGCCAUCGGAGGGAGGCGGGCGCGUGGAAGCAGCAGCCGCAAUUGACAUCGACGGAGAAAUCAAAUGGGCUCGUGGAAUUCGAUGCGGCUCGCAAGGAUUUAGUGGUGCGGCGCGUCGCACCGACCCAGGAUGGGUCAUCUCGGAGAGCGACGGCGCGCCAAAUCCUGGUCUCCGUGACCCUAAUAGUGGACGCGAGUGCGUGACAUCCACCUAACACAUCGAUGGCAACGCUCGAACCAAAGAUAGCCAACCAUUAAUGUGAUGAAAUAUGACACCCCCAAAAUAAUUGUAGCCAUUGACGUGUGACAAAAUUGAAUUAAAUGUGUUGCAAUGUCUUCGAGGCUUUUUUAUAUUUACACCCUUACAGAUUCAUAUUUUGUUUUUGAGGGCUCUUUAUAUCACACUCUAUAGGAUAAUAAAUUGUUCAGGGAUGUCAGUGUAAACAAACACUCCCCCGCAGGGAAGGAAAGAAAAGGAUGCGAAACGAAGAGGGAAAAGCUGAAAGGGGUUAAACGCUAAAAAGGAACCGCUGCUCCGACCUCCUCUUCUUCUCCGCCUCCCGACCUCGGAUUCGUCGCCGUCGUCUUCCAGCUUUUUCAGGAAGAGGUCAAUUUAAAAGCUAAGAGCAUGAAUGAAGAUGAUAGAUCCAAGAUAUGCUGCGCUGCUCAUAUCUUGGACUGAUGCUGGCUGAAGUGUACGUUUCGUCCAGCAAAUAGGAAGCCAAAUCAUGACAGAGAAAAGCUGUCUCAGCAAGAAAACAUGAGAGACUGUUGUACUCCAUCUCCAGUUGUAAACGUCCGUAGUGAGGUUCGUGCCCCAGGAAAAGGAAACUCGUACUUCAAUUACCUCGUAGCAUAUUCAACAUGAUGAUAGUUACAGUUAUGCAUUCA
Molecule: long non-coding RNA, 1246 nt
Organism: Musa acuminata AAA Group (dessert banana)
Lineage: Eukaryota; Viridiplantae; Streptophyta; Magnoliopsida; Zingiberales; Musaceae
Exons: 2
Source: RefSeq, a predicted model, not a curated record